GCCGGAUUAGUUUAGUGGUAAAACAAGUCAAUGGUAAUGACUAGAGAAGUGUUCGAUUCACUUAUUCGGCACCA
Molecule: transfer RNA, 74 nt
Filed under: Mycoplasma suis KI3806
Lineage: Bacteria; Bacillati; Mycoplasmatota; Mollicutes; Mycoplasmatales; Mycoplasmataceae
Also listed under: 3 other names
Description: tRNA-Thr (GGT) (tRNA-Thr-GGT-1-1)
Rfam family: tRNA
About the family: Transfer RNA (tRNA) molecules are approximately 80 nucleotides in length. Their secondary structure includes four short double-helical elements and three loops (D, anti-codon, and T loops). Further hydrogen bonds mediate the characteristic L-shaped molecular structure. tRNAs have two regions of fundamental functional importance: the anti-codon, which is responsible for specific mRNA codon recognition, and the 3' end, to which the tRNAs corresponding amino acid is attached (by aminoacyl-tRNA synthetases). tRNAs cope with the degeneracy of the genetic code in two manners: having more than one tRNA (with a specific anti-codon) for a particular amino acid; and 'wobble' base-pairing, i.e. permitting non-standard base-pairing at the 3rd anti-codon position.
Source: RNAcentral